This 253-nucleotide ribosomal RNA is filed under the name uncultured bacterium. Its description in RNAcentral is "partial 16S ribosomal RNA". It matches the Rfam family "Bacterial small subunit ribosomal RNA", at positions 524 to 776 of the family's 1533-position model. The record is from RNAcentral.
UACGGAGGGUGCAAGCAUUAAUCGGAAUUAUUGGGCGUAAAGGGCGCGUAGGCGGAUAUGUAAGUCAGAUGUGAAAUUCCGGGACUCAAUUUCGGAGCUGCAUUUGAAACUACAAAUCUCGAGGAUUGGCGGAGAGAACGGAAUUCCACGUGUAGCGGUGAAAUGCGUAGAUAUGUGGAGGAACACCUGUGGCGAAAGCGGUUUUCUAGCUUAUACCUGACGCUGAGGCGCGAGAGCAAGGGGAUCAAACAGG